Molecule: non-coding RNA, 491 nt
Organism: Pelobates cultripes (western spadefoot toad)
Lineage: Eukaryota; Metazoa; Chordata; Amphibia; Anura; Pelobatidae
Source: the annotation of a GenBank genome assembly
GCCUUGCUCAAAUGAGUUUAUAAGCUAUAAUCAUCAUAAAACGUCAGAACACCAUCGCUUUACCAUAGCAACCUCCUUUCCAGUCAGUGAUGUGCUAACCAGGAGAAUAUACAGGCACCCAUGAUUGUCUAACUCUGCUCAAAACAAGAGAAUGGUGUCUAUUUACUAAAUUACAGUUAAUUAAAACUGUACUCCUAGAUAUAAUAAUGCUUUUAGUUUGCUGAACUCAUGACAAAUGUCUGAUUGUACUAUUUUGAUAAAUAGUAAUAUAGGGACUAUAAUGUGAGGCUUACGAGAAGUCCCUUUGUGAGAAAAAAGAAGAAACUAGAUAAAGAUAACUGAAUAGAGACAACACUAGGUUGGAAAUAGAUGGGAGAUAGAGACAUUUAUUUGUAUUACUUUAUCUACAAGAAGAUAAGAAGGUGAGAAAGGAGAUUAGACAGUUUAUGUAUAGAUUCAAUGUAUAUUGAUUGUGAAGACUUUACAUGUUU